CGUGACGUAUGCCGAGCGCGGCCGGAGUGCGCCCCGGCGGGCGGGAGAGGAGUGGGGCGCCGGGUGGGGCCGCGGGGUAGAAGGCGGGCCGGAGGAGAGGGGCGGGUGUGAGUGGCUCCCCCGGGCACGGCUCCGAGCAGAGGCUUACUGACGGAAACCAAGCGUUACCAAUGGGGACCGUGCCCGGCGUCAUAGGAGAGGGACAUUACACUCCCCUCCACCACAGAGUACUGGCGGACCAACACCAGAAUCAUGGUCCACAUCCGAUCAGCCCUGGGCCUGGGCUGUCCCAGUCUUGCAGACAGACCCACCUGCACCAGCAGCCCCCCAAUAUCAAGUAGCACUCACCACACUAUUGCAGAACCUAAAGGCAAUAGAGGAGCAGCUGAGAAGCAUGCAUCAAACUCCAUGAGACACAUGUGAUGCCAGGCCAGAUGUCUUCUCUCAUCCCCUUCACCUCAAACACAAACCAUCCUAUUAUCCAGUUUUCCUGUUGCCUGAGAACAAAAUGCACCUGCCUGAAGCAGCCGACUGAAACUAGUCUUUGGCAAGAUGGACACUUAUGUAAGUGUGGGAAGUUACUCAAAAGAAAUGGCCAUAACUACAAAAGGCAUCCUCACCUGAAGAAGUCUUCAGUGUAAUCAAAAAGGCAGUUCAUGGCUUGGGGAUUCUUCUGGACUCUGCUUCUUCUGGGUACACAAAUAACUAUAAUGGUUAGAAAUGCCUCUUAUUAGCUCCAACUGCCCAGGGGAUGCAUUCAGUCCUAUUGUAUAGAAAUCGGGCUGUGCUGAUAUAUUCCAAUGCAUUGUACCCGGAGUUGAAAGUAAAGGCUUUACACUCUAGCUGGUCAAACAUGGAGUGACUUGUCUACUAACAUAGGAUGGGUGAUACACGCACAGCAAUCCAAUGCUCCAAAACCUACAGUGACUCCCUGUCCAAAACUAGAUUCAGUUCAAAAUCCUGGUCUUGAUCUUCAAAUCUCUGAGUGAGGUGAACCCAGAUGAUCUCAGGCAUUUUUCUCUGUGAUUUAUUACAGCAAUUACAUUUACAAGGGAUGAGGUCAGUAGCAAGGAUUACGCUUGCUGCAAGAGCAAGAGGCUGAAAUGGCUGUGGAAUGCCUUUCCAUUAAAAAUGGUAAUGACCAGGGGUUUGCAACUUUCAGACACAAAUGUAAGACUCAUCUCUUUGCAAUUGCUUUCCAUAAAAAUAGCCUUAAGACUCUGCAUUGCUUCCCUGAACAUAACAAAUAAUGUAAUUUAAAACUAUUUAUGCAUACUUUAACUGAACAAAAAAGAAUAAUGAAGAGUGGAGGAUACAGUAUUUUAGAUGGACUGUUUUAUGUAGUUUUGUUAGUGCCUGGAUAUCAUGGUGAUGUCAGAUAAACUGCUAUAGAUUUCUACACAGAAGAUUACCCAAGCAUAUUCUUUGCCACAGUGAAAUAUGAAAAAUACAGGCAGACUUUUAACAAAUAAAGAAUCACGUAUCACAAACUAUAAUAAUAAUCUGGAGACAAAAGGAAAUCCAAAGAUGAACAUCUGUGCCAACCACACUAGAAACAUUAAAACUGAAAGUAAUUUCUACUUCAAUGUGCACCAUACAAAGAAGUAUAAGAAACAUACUUUCUCAAAUUAACAACUAUAGUAUGACAUUUUCCUAUUAAAAUAGAGAACAAAACCCAAGCAUAAUUCUGAACAAAAAGAAAGAGAUGGCAUUUGGUAGAAAUAGUAUCACAAUAUGUAGUGAACUUCAACCAGUAAGACCAAAUUCCAAUGAAGGUAUUUAAACUGGGCUCAAUUUUGCUAUCUGUUACAUAUGUGCAAUACAGGAAUUGCACCUGUGUAACAGAGGAAAGAACAGAACACAGUCUUCCCAUGUAACAUUUUCUGCAUUUUCAGUUGGAUGCAGUAUGCUUCAUUUCACUAAAUAUUCCUUGCAGCUGCUUAUAGGCCAUCCGGAACAAGGGAGGAGGAGCUACAGACAAAUAUUUCUUUUCACUGUCUCAAAGACUAGUCUUAACAACUAUAGUGAGGUGAUUACUGCUCUAUAUGGGGUAUCUUACUGAUCACAUCCAGACACAAAGUGUGAAAUAAAAGCUUUGUCUGACAAGAUGUGCAGUGGAAAAGGUAAAUCUUCGGUACUUAUUGGAUUUAUCCUCAUCAGUCUUGAAAUGAUUGUUUCAGCUAACACAGGUUUCUCUAUAUCCAUAUAUAAUGUGACAUCAAGAAACAUUUAUCUCAGAUGGUCCAAGUUUUCAGGAGCCUUUUCCUACAGAAUCACAGCAACCCCCAUGAACACAGUAGGCCACCCUUUGCUGGCGCACUUCAAUGAUGUUCCUGUUAUAGGCAUUCUUACUUCACUAACUCCCAACACUGUCCACACUGUAAAAGUGGAAGCCAUUGAUAAGAAUGGAAUUAUCCUGGCAGAAGCACAGACUAUGCAGUUAACAGCUCCUGAGAUACCUGCUAUUGACCAAGCUUAUUCAAAACUGAGCAACAGUAUCACAGUGGAAUGGGCAGCUGUUCCUGGGGCUACCAGUUAUUUACUGACUGCACAGGACGGAGAGUCUUUCAUUGAAACUAUAGUCAUAAAUUCACCAGGCACAGUGACAGGAUUGAAGGCUGCUACAUUGUACAAAAUCACCAUCAGAUCUAUAAACUCUGGAGGAAGAAGCCUACCUUCGCCUUCAAAGAAGGCAAAGACAGUCUUGGCUGCUCCGGUCCUGUCUGUAAGUUCUCCAAGUUAUGACUCCAUAGUGGUGAGCUGGGGAGCUGUAUAUAUGGCAGUUGGAUUCUCUGUGUCCAUCAUGAGAUCAGAUGGUUUAGGCAGUAUGAUGAAAGAGAACACCACCCAUACCUCCUUGGUAUUUACCAGUCUAGAUCCAGGAACUCUCUAUACCAUCAAGGCACAUGCCUGGAAUGUUAAUGGGAUACCUGGAGAUGAUUUCACGUACAACCAAAUAACAAGUCCUCAUGCACCAUCAGAUGUUCAAGUUGCUUUUGAUAGUGGAACUUUGAGGGCCACUGUUUCUUGGAUACCGACAGAGGGAACUUUAAAUUACAGUGUGACAGCCAGCAGUGGAGCCUCCGAACUGAACUGUAGCACAUCUUCCACUUCCUGCACUUUGUCUUCACUCCAGUGUGGUUCUGAAUACUCUGUUUAUGUCAUAGCAAAUAAUGGUGCUGGAUCCAGUAAACCUACAGAUGCAGUGAGUUUAAAAACUGUCCCUUGUGCACCAGGAAGUAUAACAAUAGAAGAGGACAACCCUGGUAAAUUGUCAGUCUCAUGGUCUAAUGUAGAUCUUGGAGAUUAUUAUGUGGUUUUUGUGAAAAGCGAUGAUGGCUUGGAAGUGCACUGCAACACAUCCCAUACCCAAUGCCACUUCCAAUCAGAUUGUGGUUUCACUUACUUCAUUAGUGUCUUCGCAUAUAACAAGGCAGGACAGAGUCCUUUAGGGGAUGUACUCAAUUAUACUACUGCACCUUGUUGCCCCAGUGACUUUUACCCAGUGUUUGUGUCCAGCGAUACAGUUGAGAUUGUCUGGUCUCCUGUCCGUGGUGCUGAAAUGUAUGAAACAAAAGCUGUUGAUGGGGUUGGUGUAGUAUUGUGUAAUGACACUGCCACAAUUUGCAUCCUGUCUGCAUUGCAAUGUAACACCCAAUAUAACAUCACUGUGUAUUCUUACAGUGAAAUCAGGGGCAGCAAUACAUCAUGUGUAUCUAAAUAUGUGGCAACAGCUCCAUGCAGUCCUGAAAUAAAAAACGUCUCACAGGAUGAUCUUUCCAUAAUUAGUGUACACUGGCAGGCCAAUAAUGAUGAAACUAUAUACACUGUUACUGCUAGAGGAGAGGCUGGAUUGUGGCAUUGCACAAGUUCCGGAAAUUCCUGUAGCAUAACUGAUCUUCCCUGUGGAUCAGUUUUCUCAGUUAGUGCUGUGGCAAUUACAACAGCAGGACAGAGCUUACCUAGUUACAGUGUCCCUUUAGAGACAGCUCCUUGUUGCCCUAAUGAUCUGACAGUAACUCAAGUGAUGCAGUCUAUAACAAAUAUCAGCUGGUCGGUUGGGGCUGGUGCAAAGACAUACAUAACAAUACUGGAAUCACCAAAAGGACUGGCCAAGUGCCACACACUUCAAAACCACUGUCUCCUGGGAUGCAUUACAUGUGGCACCACCUAUACAGUGUCUCUGAAAGUGAUUAGUGAAACUGGUUUGGCCUCAGACUGCACAUAUCAAGACUAUUCUUCCAGUGCUUGCUGUCCUUCUGGGGUGAAAUUAUAUAGACUGCGCAAUAAUGGUAUCCGAAUAUACUGGCGAGCUUCUGCAGGGUUGAUAAAGUAUAGUACAGAUCUAUAUGGAUCAAAAGGCAAUUUCACCUGUACCCCUACUUCAGGUUUGAGUUAUUGUGAUGUCACCGAGAUACCUUGUGGGGAUGUCUAUACAGUGGUAGUUUCUCCAGUUCCUGAGAAAGGAUCAAAGCUUACAUUUUGCCCUAAAAAAAUAUAUUCAGUGACCUGCUCUGGAAGUUCUGUUGGAAUGGGUAUGAGAAUGCUGUCAGCGUUUCACCUCUCAUGAAAAUGGUGGUUCUAGUGAGAUAUGUUUCUCUUAGAAUGAAAAGUACUUUACUUUAAAAUAACAUUUUCUGGCAGGAGGACUCUCUUAAUUCUAUCAAAGAUAAAACAUUUACUCCCAACAUAAUAUGUAUUACAACUUCUGUAAGUUACAUUGUAUGAGACAUAUAUACCAUGGCCUAGAUAGAUCCUCAGCUAGAGCUAAGAAGCACACAGUAUGACUCAGGAGGGAGUGUGCAAAGAUGGAUUUGGUCCCCUCAUGUUGGGGCUGCUCUGUGCCAAUCCAGUCCUCCAGUGUAAGUCAGAACAGCCAGAAGGCUGCUGUUAAGUACAAUGCCUGCCAAAGGCCCCAAAGGGUUCUUAUAACAGCCAGGGAUUGCUAAGGUCCAGGGGAAUCCUAGCCAUGUCCAUUUUCUCCUGGCCACAGCCCCUACUACAGUUGUAAGAGGGAGGUUGGCAAAGCAGCUGUAUGUCAGCUCUAGAAAACCAGAGGAUUCCUGAAUAUGGUAUUCACCCUGUGCAAAAAAUGACUUAAACCAGUGAGAGAAUCUGGCCUUACACAUAUGUCCAAGUGGGAUCCAUGAAAUUAACUGGAGACAUAACAGCACAGACACGUUAUACAUUUAUCUUGUGUCUGUUUGUCCAGUGCCUAAUAAAAUGCAAAUUUUUAACAGUGAGUAAAAACUAUUGGAACAUCUUACCUGAGGUUGUGGUAUUCUCUCACUUAAAGUCUUUAAAUCAAGACUGGAUGUCUAACUUUUCAAAAUUCUGAGGAGUUUCAACCAGCCACAAACAAAAAAAACAUGUCAGGGAAAUAGUUCAUAGUUGUUCCCCAAAUGUGCAAUUCACACCCCCAAAUUACACUUCUUUGAGGCCCAGGAGAGGCAAGAUUCAGCUUUGAGCUACUAGCAGCAUUUUCUAAAUGCCACAGCUGUGAAGUUUGAGCCCUCACAGCCUUACAGAGGAAGAAACAAGAGCUCUAUAUCAUUAAGGAGAUUUUCUCCUUUCUAAUCAGAACCAGCACUUACCUCUGCCCUUCCAGGGUUAGAGACAUUACACUUUAAAGUUGUGUCAGCUUUAUAUACAGAAAAGUUAUUUUACACCACUUUUGGAGAUGGCUUCCUUUGAGCCUUGCAGAGUUGGAUUCUUGGCAGCUAGCUUUACAGGCAUAGGGUUACCAAAAAAUGGUCCUAAUUUUGUAAAACUCACAAACACAUUCCCAAAAUAUUUUUUCUCCAACAUAUGCGGCACAUACAGAACUCGUGAUUGGUGUGGUGUGGUAUAAAGGUUUUACUGGUGUUUAGUUGAGGAUGGUGCCCAUCUGUGGCUUCACCCCUCUUGUGUAUUGGGACCAUUCCAAACUCAUUCAGAUAAAGCCUUGUUAACACAGCACAAAAUCAUAUAUUUUUAAACUAAAAAUAGACUUAAGUGGGACUCUAAUCACCACCUACACAGAUAAAUAGCUAUCUCUAUAUAUCUUGAAAAAUUAGAUUAUGAGUGUUUUACAGAUAUUACCUAUAUUUUGGCCUGCAGCCAUACCACAUCAGGCUGUUAUCUCACUAGUUCUUACAAGCCAAGCAGUGUGAGGCCUAGUCAGCACUUCGAUGGAAGACCUUGAAAAACAGAGUGCUACUGGAAGGGUGUAAGGAACAUUAUACCCUCUGAAUCUGUACUGUCCCAGUGGCCCAGCAUGGUGCUACAAGACUUUUAUGCUCUUGCAUGAGACCUAAAAGUGAGGUCUGAACCACUCAGUCAGCAAAGAGCCCAUGGAACUUUUUGAAAGUGUGUGUUCUAUCUUUUAGAGCCUGGCCAAGUUAAAAUUAAUUAAAUUUAGCUAUAUUGUUCCACUGAUUUUUGAAGCACCACUUACUUUCCGCUAACAAAUUGGUGACAUUGUAUGGUCCAUUCUAAGUUUUUUGUGUGGUUUCAAAUGAAUAGAAUCUUUCCAUUCAAUUUCCUGACUGAAACUGCUGGGGACACCUGCAUAAGCAACUUAUUCAAAUAAACAUUUCUUGUGUGUGUUUGUCAUUUUUUUUCUCACUUGAAUUUGUCUAACCCUCUGAAUUUUUGUUGUAGUGAUCUAUAGAGGAAAGAGAAGUCCAGAAUAACAUUUUUCUGGAUGGAAUCAUUGGUUCAGACAAGCAGAAUACAGCUAUGCAACUCCAUCGGGCACAUGAAUCAUCACUUCAGGUCACUUACACAAAACAAUCAGAUGGAACAUUCUGACACUUCAUAACACCAGUACUAAAAUAUUGUCUCUUAAUAAAAAGGAUUUUUGUUCACUGUCAAAUACAAGUUUCCCUCUUUAGGAAUUUUUUUUUAAAUAAAUGAAUUGCACUACUUACUAAGAAACAGCUAGUUUUUAUUUCCAAUUUAGGGUUUGAAAAGGUAUGAGAAUGUAGAAAUUAGCGUUGUUCUGUUUGCAACUCCCCCCAAACAGGUUUUAAUGCAGUAGGUUUCUCUUUAUAGUCAUAACAGCAUUUUCAAACAUGGGUCCCUAAACUUAGUCAUGUACAUAGGUGGUCUUGAGCCUGCUUUUCCGGUCCUAAGCAAUCAGUUUCUAAUGAGGUCAGGGCCAAACAUGGGCUGUAGCUUUUAUCUGGCAUACAAACAACUAUUUGUAAACUAAUUGGUACACUAAUUGUAAGUGAAUAACUUUAUGAUGGUCCUUGAUAAAAAUCAAAUUAAUUACAUUGAAUCAGAACCACCAGCUGCAUAAGAUUUGCAUAUCUUAAUUACAUAUCAGCCCUCAUUAAACUCAAGCAUACUUAAUAGAAGACUGUUUAAGAGAAAAUGAGCUAACUUUAAUUAAAUAUGUAGGUUUCGAAUAGCUACAAACAGCAACAUAAUUGCACCCAGUUGUAUAAACUUACUCUUUAAGAAAUGAAGGUUAUUCACCUGUAAGCAGAGUUUUUCAAGAUUGAAUAUAUGUAAAGUCUUACUCCCCACUCAUGUCAACUCCUAAUUAAAUCAGACUUGAGGCAGCUGGGGCACAAUGCUUCCUUUUAUAGCCCUGCCUUCAGAACUUUCAGGAAUAUCAAAGGGGGGAGAGGGCAAGCACUCAGGUACUACUGUUAAAAGGUUCCACCAUCAAGGCACCCUAUGACUGGAAAUAUGCGGAUUCCAUUUCUAACAACUACUGUACGUAACCAUUGGGUUUGGGGUUUUUUCAUCCGGUGCAUACACUAUGGAGUCCUCGUCUACUGUGUCCCAUUCUUUCUAUCUGUUACUUCUAUCUAUUAUAGAAGGGCAGUAUAUAUAUCUGCAAAACCUCUUGCUAGAGUAGGCCCCAAUACUGAAAGAUUACCUGAGCCGCACCUAAGUCAGUGGGGUUCUGUGCAACUCAUUUUUUUAAAAUCUAGGCCUUUCAAGACAAAAUUGGCAGGGCUCACCAAACCAUUAACCUAGAUUUGGGGGAGGGAGGAAGAAGGAUGUUUAAAGAAGCCAGGCAUUUGAACGUGUCUGCCAAAUCUUCCAAGAACAGAGUACAGAAGUACAGACAGUGGGACAAAUCCUGCUCACUAGGCACUAUUCACAUGAAUAAGUUAAACAACAGUUGGCUCCUUGUUGCUCCACAUUACUUGCACUUUGUGGUUCUUUAUGCUGUAUAAACACACAAGGUUUUUCUUGCCUUUUUACAGCAGAAAUUUAGUUGAGUCUAGAAGACUUUUUGAUAAUGGGACAACCGGUACAGGAUUAGGGCAUCAUAAAUACACAGAUAAUGAAACCUGAUGGGAGCGAUCUUUAUUCAAGCCACUUAAAACCAUUUGCCUUUAACAGCAAUUUAAAAUACACUUGAGGGAAAAAAAGAAAAAAAGAUUUGUUAAGGUUUCAAACCCUCACUCACCCUAAAUGUUGAGUAAGCUCCCACUACAUGCUUCUGAGAUGUCCCCAGAAGUCCUCCAGUGAAAACAAAGAAUUUAUAUUCCAGCUAUUUACCAAGCCAGCUGAAAUACAACAAACAAAAGUAGUGGGAGUUAACACUGGCUAUGUCCCUUCCACACAUGGCAGGACAGCCCAGGCUUAGCUAAUGUGGCCAAUGGAAACACGGUUCCUUGAGAAGUCAUGGUGCCAGUAAGGUGGCACAAAGAGAUAAGUCUGUAUAUGGCUAUAUAAGAACUGGGUAUUAAUGUGUGCUUGUAAUUUUGAUUCCCUUGGGUUCAGCUGGGUUUGGAGAACCUGCAUUUUCCAAAACCAUUCCCCUUUUAAGUGAGGUAUUACUCAGAAGCACUAUCAUAUUUGCUUUGCAGAAUUGUUUUGCCCUCCUUCCUUUUCUCUCCCACAGGUUUUACCAGGGAAGGAUAUGAUACUGCAUAAAGGACGGCAGGAUUUAUCUGUAGUAUGUUUAUCUGUUCUAGGUUUGGCAAGGGUUCAACUUCUAUACCUUUCCCCAAUUUACAUUAACCAUUGUAUUAGGUGGCAUUUCAUCUAUUGGAAGAACUGCUUGAAAUUUACUACUUGCCACACAAACAUAAGAAAUUACUGCAUUAAAGGAUUUAACUCUAGGCAUUUAGACCACACUAAUCACUGAAUUUUUAACUGAAAAAUACUAUGCUUAUUGUAUACAGCACUGUACUGAUACUCUCAGAGGAGAAAAUUCCCCAUCAUUACUGGACACCAAUCACUAAACUAGACAGUUAAACAGCAACCUCAGACUUAGAAGAGAAUUCUUCCCAAUUUUCUUCAGCCAGAGGGAUGCCAACUGAAAAACAGGGUUCUGAGCACAUGGGAAUCAAGUCAUGAAAACAGAAAGCUUCUCAGACAUCACUUUCUUUUCUCUUCCAUCCUCCCAGAUACACACUGUUUGCAUUAAUAAAGUAAAGGUUCUAUGGUAUGGCAUGCCAGGUCAAGAUUCUGAAUCUAAGUGUAAUGCUUGUUCUCAUAUGCUCAGCAACCAAAAGGGCAGCUGAGAGCUAUUGCCCAACUAUAGUCUUCUUGCAUUUGCUGGUGGUCUGCAGAGGAGACUCAGAGGGUGACAGCUCUUAAGUAUCAUUAAGACUACUAAAAUACACUUAACAUUUUUUUCCAUGCAAGAAAACUUUAGUUGGCACAAGAUGAUUAUGAUCACAUGUGGAAGGGGAGAUUAUCCAUAAGAAUCUCUAUUAAAAUGUGAAUCCAAAAUCUGAGAAAUGAAAGAACGCGUGAGGCUGCACUUUUAGAAGUUUGGGUAUAUUUGCAUGUUCGCUUGAAAGCAAAAGUUGAGGAUUUUAUUCACAUUUACAUGGAAGAUUGUUACUGCUGAUGGUUACAAAGGAUAUAGUAUUUCUCUGUCAAUGAAUCAGCAUGCAGUGUUGUUAAGUUACAAAGCAGCAUAGGUUUUCACCUCUGAAAACUUAAGCCACUAUUUACUUCUGGCUACAGCCAAACCAUCCACAAAACUUUUAUCCACCAUAUGAAAUAUCCAGCUCACUAUGAUUGAGAUAAUCUACACAGAAGAAUCACAGGACUAUAACAUUAGGAGCAAGGCAGCAGUGGCUGAGUUGUGGAAGAGGCACCAUAGACCUACCUGCUCCUUGAUCACCCAGUGCUACCAGUUUUUCACUCAACUAUGUAACCCUGCAACUCUCAGUCUCCUUAUUUUCGAACUUCAUCCACUUGUUGUUUUCAUUCAUUACAUCAUAUCUCAAGUCAGACUGUAAGCUCCACAGGCAGGGCAUGUACUUAUUUGUCAGAAGUACCCACCAUAAUAUGUCUGUAUUACUGAAUGAAAUUUGAAGAGUCACAUUAUUUAACCAAAUAUUAACAACAGAAAUCUGGUCUCAAUCAGCACAGCCAAGGAGGAAAAUAAAUGGAAAGAUGUGUUAACAGACUUAUCUACUAAGCCCCAUAUCCAAUUCACUAAGAGAAGUAAAACUUUUUGCAAAGAACCAGGCACUACUGAGAUCAGUAUAAAUGAGGAGUAACAGUCAAUCAUUUAAAACCAAGUAUCUGAACUACCUUCUACAUUUGUGUUGCUAACCCUUCCCACCCCAUAAAGCAAACAGAAACUAAAGUAAUCAAAAUUGCAAAUAAGAUGCUGAUCAUACAUUCAUUUUCUGACAGAACACAUUUGGGGCUUAUUGUUUGUUUGUUUUUAAAGCAAGAGGAAAAGAUAGAGGGCAACAGCAGUCUGGGUUUUCUACUGCAGUGGAUACUCUCACACCCCAUACAAGUUUCUCCCCAAACUCCAAUUUCAAGCUCAAUUACCUAUCGGUUUAAAAAAAAUCACGUAAGGGAGUAGCACCUCAAUACUAGAAAGUGUUUCUCUGCUGCUGGGGGGAACACCAGGAAGAACAACAAUACAUUUAGAAUUAAAGGUGACCAGAAAAAAAAAAUUGAGCUUGAGCUACCUUUGCUUCUUUAAUACAGAAACGAGCUGAUUUUUUUCCUCCAAAAUAUUUUCUUUUUGCCUUAGUAAUUCAGGCACUCGCUAUUUAUUCUGCAAGAUCAGGGACAACUAGAAAGUUGUUUUACUACAGUAAAUUAAUUUAACUAGAUUUAUUGACAUAUACUAUGAAAGAAAGAACAGGAGAAGGAAAGUGACUGCAUUAAACACUUGUUUAAACUUAAUACCUAGAAGUGCUACAUCAUACAAAAGCAAAGGGAGGGGAGCGGACGACACAAACCUCUUCUUUCACCCUCAGGUCACUCAAACCACCAAUGAUCCACAUUUCAACAGUCUUAAACCCUGAGUUAACCAGAUUAGUCUUUAUACAUUGACCUAUUACUUUGAAGUCCCAGUCCAUACACAGUAUCAUUUUCCUUUAGAGCAAGGCAUAAAGAAAUCCACACAUACAUCUUUUCAACUGGCAAUGAACAUACGGGGAAAAGCUGACACCCAGCACAAAGGAGUUAAUCCAGUGUUUAUUCCAGACUGAUGGUUCUCCUCACUCAAUAUACAAGACAUCAGAACAACCUACCAAGCAGAACUGGACUUUUAUUAUAUGAUUUUUCCAUAGUGCAUUUUGGUAUUACCUCCUACUAGCUAAUCUGUU
Molecule: RNA transcript, 11540 nt
Organism: Chelonia mydas (Green sea turtle)
Lineage: Eukaryota; Metazoa; Chordata; Testudines; Cheloniidae
Gene: FNDC7
Gene name: fibronectin type III domain containing 7
Exons: 13
Source: RefSeq, a predicted model, not a curated record